CUAAGCGCCUUCUCCAAUGCAAGGACCGGGACUUCCAACACCCGGACAACCUUCCGCGAUCCGUCCCCCCAUCGCAUUUAACAAUGGUGCAGGAAUAUUAACCUGCUUCCCAUCAGCUACGCAUUUCUGCCUCGCCUUAGGGGCCGACUCACCCUACGCCGAUGAACGUUGCGUAGGAAACCUUGGGCUUACGGCGAGGGGGCCUUUCACCCCCUUUAUCGCUACUCAUGUCAGCAUUCGCACUUCCGAUACCUCCAGCACACUUUUCAAUGCACCUUCGCAGGCUUACGGAACGCUCUCCUACCAUGCGUGC
This 313-nucleotide ribosomal RNA is filed under the name Anophryoides haemophila. RNAcentral's name for it is "partial Bacterial large subunit ribosomal RNA". Lineage: Eukaryota; Ciliophora; Oligohymenophorea; Philasterida; Glauconematidae. The record is from RNAcentral.